AUUGAACGCUGGCGGUAGGCCUAACACAUGCAAGUCGAACGGCAACACACUGAGAGCUUCCUCUUACGGGUGGCGAGUGGCGUACGGGUUAGGAACACAUCCAAAUCUACGUUUUCGUUGCGGGUAACGGAAGCAAACUUACGCUACUACCUCUUACUGCCAGCGGGGGAAAGCAAGGCCUCUUCCGACCUUACCCGCUUGUAUCAGCCGAUGUCGGAUUAGCUAGUUGGCGGGGUAAAGGCCCACCAAGGCGACGAUCCGUAGCUGGUCUGAGAGGAUGAUCAGCCACACUGGAACUGAGACACGGCCCAGACUCCUACGGGAGGCAGCAGUGGGGAAUAUUGGACAAUGGGCGCAAGCCUGAUCCAGCCAUACCGCGUGGGUGAAGAAGGCCUUCGGGUUGUAAAGCGCUUUUGUUGGGAAAGAAAAGCCGCUGGUUAAUACCCCGCUGUAAUGACGGUACCGAAAGAAUAAGCACCGGCUAACUUCGUG
This 492-nucleotide ribosomal RNA is filed under the name uncultured bacterium. RNAcentral's name for it is "partial 16S ribosomal RNA". It matches the Rfam family "Bacterial small subunit ribosomal RNA", at positions 30 to 507 of the family's 1533-position model. The record is from RNAcentral.